RNAcentral lists this ribosomal RNA (253 nucleotides) under uncultured bacterium. RNAcentral's name for it is "partial 16S ribosomal RNA". It matches the Rfam family "Bacterial small subunit ribosomal RNA", at positions 524 to 776 of the family's 1533-position model. The record is from RNAcentral.
UACGGAGGGGGCUAGCGUUGUUCGGAAUUACUGGGCGUAAAGCGCACGUAGGCGGCUUUGCAAGUCAGAGGUGAAAGCCCGGGGCUUAACCCUGGAAUUGCCUUUAAGACUGCAUCGCUAGAAUCGUGGAGAGGUGAGUGGAGUUCCGAGUGUAGAGGUGAAAUUCGUAGAUAUUCGGAAGAACACCAGUGGCGAAGGCGACUCACUGGACACGUAUUGACGCUGAGGUGCGAAAGCGUGGGGAGCAAACAGG